GACAGAGGGUGCAAGCGUUAAUCGGAAUGACUGGGCGUAAAGGGUGCGUAGGUGGUUGGUUGCGUAAGUUGUGAAAGACCUGGGCUUAACCUGGGGGUGACGACUUAAACGGGCUAACUAGAGUGAGGUAGAGGGGGGUGGAAUUUCCGGUGUAGCGGUGAAAUGCGUAGAGAUCGGAAAGAAGGCCGGUGGCGAAGGCGGCCCCCUGGGCCUAUACUGACACUGAGGCACGAGAGCAUGGGGAGCAAACAGG
Molecule: ribosomal RNA, 253 nt
Filed under: uncultured bacterium
Lineage: Bacteria
Description: partial 16S ribosomal RNA
Rfam family: Bacterial small subunit ribosomal RNA
Source: RNAcentral